Molecule: transfer RNA, 65 nt
Filed under: Staphylinidae sp. BMNH 1274642
Lineage: Eukaryota; Metazoa; Arthropoda; Insecta; Coleoptera; Staphylinidae
Description: tRNA-His
Source: RNAcentral
AUUUAAAUAGUUUAAUUAAAAUUUUAGUUUGUGGAACUAAAGAUAUGAAGAAUUCAUUUUAGAUA